Micropterus salmoides (largemouth bass) is the source of this 410-nucleotide long non-coding RNA. RefSeq lists it as uncharacterized. The record is from RefSeq and is a predicted model, not a curated record. NCBI's taxonomy places the organism in Eukaryota, Metazoa, Chordata, Actinopteri, Centrarchiformes, Centrarchidae. The transcript has 2 exons.
UCUAUUUUUUUCUUAAGUUUGUGUUGCUUACCUGCACUUUGACACUGUUAGGAACCUCUUUCUCCUGCCCUGUGACCACUGAUGUGUCUUUAUGACCCAUCUCAGAGGCGGACUCCCACUAGAGAACCACUGCAUUAUACUAACAGAAUGACUGACUGGCAAUCAGGAUCCAACUCUCUAUGGCUAUCCUGACACAGAUGCAUGACAAUUUGGCAGAAGAGUUCAGAUCGACUUUGGCUCAGCAUGAAAACCACAGAUGAAGAGGGUUCCAACGCAGUGGGCUCUGACCAAACAACGCAGUAUUCAGCAAAAAAGCUGGACCUGGCUCAAACUCCGGUGCAACAUCAUCUGAAAAGAUGUGCUGUGCUGAAAUAUGCUGUUCAAAAAAAAUAAAGGGAACACUUAAACAA